This 503-nucleotide ribosomal RNA is filed under the name uncultured bacterium. Its description in RNAcentral is "partial 16S ribosomal RNA". It matches the Rfam family "Bacterial small subunit ribosomal RNA", at positions 29 to 507 of the family's 1533-position model. The record is from RNAcentral.
AACGAACGCUGGCGGCGUGCCUAACACAUGCAAGUCGAACGAGAAAGGGGCUUCGGCUCCGAGUAAAGUGGCGCACGGGUGAGUAACACGUGGGUAACCUGCCUCUAAGAUUGGGAUAACUCGUCGAAAGAUGAGCUAAUACCGAAUAAGACCACAGUUCCCGCGGGAACAGGGGUCAAAGGUAGCCUCUGCUUGCAAGCUAUCACUUAGAGAUGGGCCUGCGCACCAUUAGCUAGUUGGUAGGGUAACGGCCUACCAAGGCAAAGAUGGUUAGCUGGUCUGAGAGGAUGAUCAGCCACACUGGAACUGAGACACGGGCCAGACUACUACGGGAGGCAGCAGUGGGGAAUAUUGCGCAAUGGGCGAAAGCUUGACGCAGCAACGCCGCGUGAGUGAUGAAGGCCUUCGGGUCGUAAAGCUCUGUCGGGAGGAACGAAUGCUCCUGAGGUUAACAGCCUCGGGAGGUGACGGUACCUUCAAAGGAAGCACCGGCUAACUCUGUG